RNAcentral lists this ribosomal RNA (873 nucleotides) under uncultured beta proteobacterium. RNAcentral describes it as "bacterial SSU rRNA". It matches the Rfam family "Bacterial small subunit ribosomal RNA", at positions 11 to 882 of the family's 1533-position model. Lineage: Bacteria; Pseudomonadati; Pseudomonadota; Betaproteobacteria. The record is from RNAcentral.
GUUUGAUCCUGGCUCAGAUUGAACGCUGGCGGCAUGCCUUACACAUGCAAGUCGAACGGCAGCGCGGGGCAACCUGGCGGCGAGUGGCGAACGGGUGAGUAAUAUAUCGGAACGUACCCUGGAGUGGGGGAUAACGUAGCGAAAGUUACGCUAAUACCGCAUACGAUCUACGGAUGAAAGUGGGGGAUCGCAAGACCUCAUGCUCGUGAAGCGGCCGAUAUCUGAUUAGCUAGUUGGUGGGGUAAAGGCCUACCAAGGCAACGAUCAGUAGCUGGUCUGAGAGGACGACCAGCCACACUGGAACUGAGACACGGUCCAGACUCCUACGGGAGGCAGCAGUGGGGAAUUUUGGACAAUGGGGGCAACCCUGAUCCAGCAAUGCCGCGUGUGUGAAGAAGGCCUUCGGGUUGUAAAGCACUUUUGUCAGGAACGAAACGGUGGUUUCUAAUACAGAUCACUAAUGACGGUACCUGAAGAAUAAGCACCGGCUAACUACGUGCCAGCAGCCGCGGUAAUACGUAGGGUGCAAGCGUUAAUCGGAAUUACUGGGCGUAAAGCGUGCGCAGGCGGUUUUGUAAGUCUGAUGUGAAAUCCCCGGGCUCAACCUGGGAAUUGCAUUGGAGACUGCAAGGCUAGAAUCUGGCAGAGGGGGGUAUAAUUCCACGUGUAGCAGUGAAAUGCGUAGAGAUGUGGAGGAACACCGAUGGCGAAGGCAGCCCCCUGGGCUAAGAUUGACGCUCAUGCACGAAAGCGUGGGGAGCAAACAGGAUUAGAUACCCUGGUAGUCCACGCCCUAAACGAUGUCUACUAGUUGUCGGGUCUUAAUUGACUUGGUAACGCAGCUAACGCGUGAAGUAGACCGCCUGGGGAGUA